This is a long non-coding RNA of Oreochromis niloticus (Nile tilapia), 757 nucleotides long. RefSeq lists it as uncharacterized. The transcript has 3 exons. NCBI's taxonomy places the organism in Eukaryota, Metazoa, Chordata, Actinopteri, Cichliformes, Cichlidae. The record is from RefSeq and is a predicted model, not a curated record.
AUUAUAAAAAUAAUCCACGAUAGGUGAAAUCCGCGAAGUAGCCAACUUUAUUUUUUACAAUUAUUAUAGAUGUUUUAAGGCUGUAAAACCCAUCACUAGACACUUAUUCACUUUUCUCAGACAGGCAUGAACAUUUUGUCAUGAUAUGAGUGAACAGUUGUUGUUUAAGGUGCAGUUCAUGGUGAAGCCACCGGAGGGUGGUGUGGAGAUAUAAUAAAAAAGUGAUGGCUAAAACCUAAGACGGUGUCAUGUCUGCUCCCUGAACUAAUAUCGUAACAUGGUGUCAGAAGUGAACUGAUAAGGCUAUACAAGAGUGUCGCACACAUGGAAGGACUUGAUUUGCUGCAGGGGAACCUCUCGGAAAAUUGGAGACGGUUUCGGCAACGGUUCGAGCUGUAUCUCGCGGCUACAGGAGGUGCUAGCAAGCCACCCAAGAUCCUCCUAAGCCCACUGUGACCCUGCAGCCAUCCAGGACUCAGAUAUACAGCGGUGAGACAGUCACUGUCAGAUGUGAGAUUCAGGGAGGUGAAAGAGCUCAGUGGACGUAUGAAUGGAGACGAGGCCAGAAAAACAUACAUGAAACAUCCAGUGAAUACAGAAUCAGCAGACUUACUGAGUCUCAUGGUGGAGGAUACAGCUGUCGGGCCACAAGAAGCUCUUCCUGGACAGAGUGGAGUGACAGCACCACAUUGAGAGUAACAGUUCCCAGUAAGCCCACUGUGACCCUGCAGCCACCCUGGCCUCAGAUAUACAGCGG